UAAUAAUGAAAUAUAAUUUACAUUUACUUUUUAAAUAGGUCUUGUGUGAGAUCGGUCACUAGCUAGAGAGCAGUCCUCUCUCGCCCCGACCCAAAGCUACCCAUGUUCCCUCCCCACCCUAAAUUCUAAUCUUCAGCAGCCAUCUCUCUCUCACGCGCGCGCGCCUCUUUUACAAGAAGUCGCGACAUCUACCAUUGAAGAUGUGGUUGAGGGUCUACUCAUAGGAGAUGCGCUUGACCACCCAAUCGGGGUUGAGGCGGUAGCCGCCCACAUGGGAGUACUUGGGGCAGCACAACUCGAGUUCGUAGACGGCGAGUAUGACGUGGCAGAGGUGGGGGACGAAGUCGAAUUCAUCGGCAGUGGCGGUGGCCCAGCUCUUGCUGUCGUAGGAGCCGAUGUAGGUGCAGAGCUUUUCCACCCACCAUAGGCACCCCAAAACGACGACACAUUCCACGCCACAAGCUAUAGACAUUUCAUCGAACAGUUUGAGAUCAUCAACUCUCGCCACCAUGAAUUCCUCCAACUCGUCGUCUCUGGCCUCAUCUACAACCUAUUCUCCGAUCUCAAUAGACAGGACUACUUCCAAAAAAUCCACGACAAAUACUCGCGUGUGUUGGAAUGACUCAGGUCGAGUUCCUCUUUAGCAAGGCAGAGCCGAUGCUGAGGAGGUUUCGAAUUUUCAAGUGCGGAUUUACGACAAGGAGGGUGACAGAGCAACUGGAUGUGGCGACGAAGGGGGCGUGGAUGUUGAAGAGGGAUUUCAAUAUUGAUUUUUGAUCUCCAAUUUGACUUAUUAAUCCUCAAACAUUACUUUAGUUUUAUUCACGAGAUGUUUUGCUUUUAUUUAUUUGGUCAAGUACUUAUUUUUGUAAGAAAAAAAUAAUUAUUGAUAUGAUGAAAGGUAAUGUUUCAAAAAUUUUACCUUUUUU
Salvia miltiorrhiza (redroot sage) is the source of this 929-nucleotide long non-coding RNA. RefSeq lists it as uncharacterized. NCBI's taxonomy places the organism in Eukaryota, Viridiplantae, Streptophyta, Magnoliopsida, Lamiales, Lamiaceae. The transcript is spliced from 2 exons. The record is from RefSeq and is a predicted model, not a curated record.